Piliocolobus tephrosceles (Ugandan red Colobus) is the source of this 854-nucleotide long non-coding RNA. RefSeq lists it as uncharacterized. NCBI's taxonomy places the organism in Eukaryota, Metazoa, Chordata, Mammalia, Primates, Cercopithecidae. The transcript has 4 exons. The record is from RefSeq and is a predicted model, not a curated record.
GAAGCCAAAGGGAUGGGUGGGGGUGGAGGGUGCCGAGCCCCCGAAACCAAACAAAGCGCGGCCUGAGCGAGAGCCCGGGCGAGUAGGGAAGCCGCGGCUUUUCCUGCCGGCCCGGCCCCGGCUGACACUGCGGCACCGGGGGACCCGCCUCCGCUCAGCUUGGGUCUCCCACCCCUAGGGCGUGCAGGCCGCCCCCGCCCGCCCCUGCCUCCCUUCCCGCGGUGCCCCGGCCGGCUGGCGGCUGGGAGGGAGCGCGGCCUUACCCCGCUCGCCGACGUUGUUCCGCUCCUGAGGCAGCGGCGGAGGCGGCGGUGGCGGCGGCGGAGGCUGCUGCUGCUGCUGUUGUGGCGGCGGCGGAGGCUGCUGCUGGGGCGGCUGCUGCUGGGGUGGCUGCGGCGGCGGCUGCUGCGGGGGCUGCUGCUGCUGUUGCUGCACCGGGCGCGGCCGCGACACUCGCCUGGGUCUCCGGUUGGCGGCUCGGACGGAGUUCAUUUGCCGGGCUGAGGUGGCGGCGUUGGCGGAGGGACACACACACGCACACGCACAGCGAGCUUCGGGGCUGGAGAAGGGGCCCUGUCGCCGCUGCUUCUGCUGCUGCUCCGUGGCAGGAGGAGCCAUUGACACCGCCGGAGCCUCCACUAGCCCACUUCCCCCUCUACCCCAGCCGUCACCCGAUUUUGUUGAGCUGAAAAAAAAGUGGAACGAGGGAGCCAAUCUUUGGUCCCACAAACUACAAGGAAAAGAAAAACCCUCAAGAGGAAUUACCUUUAUACCUGAUGCCCCCAACAUAAUCUCUCUCCAAGGGAAACUUGUUUUUAUUCCCUGAAUAAAAUGUACUCUUUCUCGAUUCUCCA